RNAcentral lists this ribosomal RNA (253 nucleotides) under uncultured bacterium. RNAcentral describes it as "partial 16S ribosomal RNA". It matches the Rfam family "Bacterial small subunit ribosomal RNA", at positions 524 to 776 of the family's 1533-position model. The record is from RNAcentral.
UACGAAGGGGGCUAGCGUUGUUCGGAAUUACUGGGCGUAAAGCGCGCGCAGGCGGUCUUCCAAGUCAGUGGUGAAAGCCCGGAGCUCAACUCCGGAAUUGCCAUUGAAACUGUGAGACUGGAGUACGAGAGAGGUGAGUGGAAUUCCCAGUGUAGAGGUGAAAUUCGUAGAUAUUGGGAAGAACACCGGUGGCGAAGGCGGCUCACUGGCUCAUUACUGACGCUCAGGCGCGACAGCGUGGGGAUCAAACAGG